AGUGAACGCUGGCGGUAGGCCUAACACAUGCAAGUCGAACGGCAGCACAGUAAGAGCUUGCUCUUACGGGUGGCGAGUGGCGGACGGGUGAGGAAUACAUCGGAAUCUACUUUUUCGUGGGGGAUAACGUAGGGAAACUUACGCUAAUACCGCAUACGACCUACGGGUGAAAGCAGGGGAUCUUCGGACCUUGCGCGAUUGAAUGAGCCGAUGUCGGAUUAGCUAGUUGGCGGGGUAAAGGCCCACCAAGGCGACGAUCCGUAGCUGGUCUGAGAGGAUGAUCAGCCACACUGGAACUGAGACACGGUCCAGACUCCUACGGGAGGCAGCAGUGGGGAAUAUUGGACAAUGGGCGCAAGCCUGAUCCAGCCAUACCGCGUGGGUGAAGAAGGCCUUCGGGUUGUAAAGCCCUUUUGGUGGGAAAGAAAAGCAGCAGGUUAAUACCCCGCUGUUCUGACGGUACCCAAAGAAGAAGCACCGGCUAACUUCGUG
RNAcentral lists this ribosomal RNA (492 nucleotides) under uncultured bacterium. Its description in RNAcentral is "partial 16S ribosomal RNA". It matches the Rfam family "Bacterial small subunit ribosomal RNA", at positions 29 to 507 of the family's 1533-position model. The record is from RNAcentral.